Molecule: transfer RNA, 90 nt
Filed under: Candidatus Saccharibacteria bacterium QS_5_54_17
Lineage: Bacteria; Candidatus Saccharimonadota
Also listed under: 1 other name
Description: tRNA-Leu
Rfam family: tRNA
About the family: Transfer RNA (tRNA) molecules are approximately 80 nucleotides in length. Their secondary structure includes four short double-helical elements and three loops (D, anti-codon, and T loops).
Source: RNAcentral
GGGCGAGUGGCGGAAUUUGGCAUACGCGGUAGACUUAAAAUCUGCUGCCCUCUUUAGGGCUUGAGGGUUCGAGUCCCUCCUCGCCCACCA